This is a small nuclear RNA of Otolemur garnettii (small-eared galago), 102 nucleotides long. NCBI's taxonomy places the organism in Eukaryota, Metazoa, Chordata, Mammalia, Primates, Galagidae. The record is from Ensembl.
GGACUUGCUUCAGCAGUACAUAUGCUAAAAUUGGAACAGUACAGGGAGGAUUAGCAUGGAUGCAAGGAGGACAUGCAAAUUCAUGAAGAGUUCUGUGUAUUU